This 71-nucleotide transfer RNA is filed under the name Staphylococcus argenteus. Its description in RNAcentral is "tRNA-Glu". It matches the Rfam family "tRNA". Rfam says of the family: Transfer RNA (tRNA) molecules are approximately 80 nucleotides in length. Their secondary structure includes four short double-helical elements and three loops (D, anti-codon, and T loops). Lineage: Bacteria; Bacillati; Bacillota; Bacilli; Caryophanales; Staphylococcaceae. The record is from RNAcentral.
GCUCCUUGGUCAAGCGGUUAAGACACCGCCCUUUCACGGCGGUAACACGGGUUCGAGUCCCGUAGGAAGGA